GUUGUUGUUGAGCUGCAAGAUGAAGAGGUUGACCAGCGGGGACAGCAACCCCCGGGGCAGCUCAGUGACCUUGUUGUGGUCCAGGUAGAGGUUGCUUAUGGAACCACAGAGAACAGUCCCGUGACAUUUGCCCACUUCCCUGAGGACACUGUGGAGCAGAAGGCAGAAAGCGUGGGCAGAAUUAUGCCUCACACGGAGAGAUGUCGCCACAAUGAACGAGCAGGGCUUCUGCAAGAUCGUGGGCCGCUCUAAGGAUAUGAUCAUCCGGGGUGGUGAGAACAUCUACCCCGCAGAGCUCGAGGACUUCUUUCACACACACCCGAAGGUGCAGGAAGUGCAGGUGGUGGGAGUGAAGGACGAUCGGAUGGGGGAAGAGAUUUGUGCCUGCAUUCGGCUGAAGGAUGGGGAGGAGACCACGGUGGAGGAGAUCAAAGCUUUCUGCAAAGGGAAGAUCUCUCACUUCAAGAUUCCGAGGUACAUCGUGUUUGUCACAAACUACCCCCUCACCAUCUCAGGAAAGAUCCAGAAAUUCAAACUUCGAGAGCAGAUGGAACGACAUCUAAAUCUGUGAAUAAAGUGGGAGGCCUGUCCUGGCCGGUUGGCUUGCCUCUCUCCUGUCAGAAUGCAACCUGGCUUUAUGCACCUAGAUGUCCCCAGCGCCCAGUUCUGAGCCAGGCACAUCAAAUGUCAAGGAAUUGACUGAACGAACUAAGAGCUCCUGGAUGGGUCCGGGAACUCGCCUGGGCACGAGGUGCCAAAAGGCAGGCAGCCCGCCCAGGCCCUCCUCCUGUCCAUCCCCCACAUUCCCCUGUCUGUCCUUGUGAUUUCGCAUAAAGAGCUUCUGUUUUCUUUGGCCUCUUGCU
This 863-nucleotide small RNA is filed under the name Pongo abelii (Sumatran orangutan). RNAcentral's name for it is "processed transcript". The record is from RNAcentral. Lineage: Eukaryota; Metazoa; Chordata; Mammalia; Primates; Hominidae.